GGGGAGGAGCUGUGGCUCAAUGAGACAGUUUCUCCUUGGCAUGCAGAGGGUCCCAGGUUCGAUCCCCAGCCUCUCCA
Molecule: transfer RNA, 77 nt
Filed under: Sphaerodactylus townsendi
Lineage: Eukaryota; Metazoa; Chordata; Lepidosauria; Squamata; Sphaerodactylidae
Description: tRNA-Ala
Source: RNAcentral